UAGGGAAUCUUCCGCAAUGGACGCAAGUCUGACGGAGCAACGCCGCGUGAGUGAAGAAGGAUUUCGGUUCGUAAAACUCUGUUGUUAGAGAAGAACAGCGCAUAGAGUAACUGUUAUGCGUGUGACGGUAUCUAACCAGAAAGCCACGGCUAACUACGUGCCAGCAGCCGCGGUAAUACGUAGGUGGCAAGCGUUUUCCGGAUUUAUUGGGCGUAAAUCGAGCGCAGACGGUUAGAUAAGUCUGAAGUUAAAGGCAGUGGCUCAACCAUUGUAGGCUUUCGAAACUGUUUAACUUGAGUGCAGAAGGGGAGAGUGGAAUUCCAUGUGUAGCGGUGAAAUGCAUGGUUAUAUGGAGGAACACCGGUGGCGAAAGCGGCUCUCUGAUCUGUAACUGACGCUGAGGCUCGAAAGCGUGGGGAGCGAGCAGG
This 428-nucleotide ribosomal RNA is filed under the name Bacteroidota bacterium. Its description in RNAcentral is "Bacteroidetes bacterium partial 16S ribosomal RNA". It matches the Rfam family "Bacterial small subunit ribosomal RNA", at positions 355 to 776 of the family's 1533-position model. Lineage: Bacteria; Pseudomonadati; Bacteroidota. The record is from RNAcentral.